UCAGCAGCCGCGGUAACACCGGCGGCCCGAGUGGUGAUCGUGAUUAUUGGGUCUAAAGGGUCCGUAGCCGGUUUGGUCAGUCCUCCGGGAAAUCUGAUAGCUCAACUAUUAGGCUUUCGGGGGAUACUGCCAGACUUGGAACCGGGAGAGGUAAGAGGUACUACAGGGGUAGGAGUGAAAUCUUGUAAUCCCUGUGGGACCACCUGUGGCGAAGGCGUCUUACCAGAACGGGUUCGACGGUGAGGGACGAAAGCUGGGGGCACGAACCGGAUUAGAUACCCGGGUAGUCCCAGCCGUAAACGAUGCUCGCUAGGUGUCAGGCAUGGCGCGACCGUGUCUGGUGCCGCAGGGAAGCCGUGAAGCGAGCCACCUGGGAAGUACGGCCGCAAGGCUGAAACUUAAAGGAAUUGGCGGGGGAGCACAACAACGGGUGGAAGCCUGCGGUUUAAUUGGACUCAACGCCGGACAACUCACCGGGGGCGACAGCAGUAUGUAGGCCAAGCUGAAGACUUUGCCUGAAUCGCUGAGAGGAGGUGCAUGG
Molecule: ribosomal RNA, 541 nt
Filed under: uncultured archaeon
Lineage: Archaea
Description: bacterial SSU rRNA
Rfam family: Archaeal small subunit ribosomal RNA
Source: RNAcentral